Molecule: transfer RNA, 69 nt
Filed under: Melanocetus murrayi (Murray's abyssal anglerfish)
Lineage: Eukaryota; Metazoa; Chordata; Actinopteri; Lophiiformes; Melanocetidae
Description: tRNA-Ile
Rfam family: tRNA
About the family: Transfer RNA (tRNA) molecules are approximately 80 nucleotides in length. Their secondary structure includes four short double-helical elements and three loops (D, anti-codon, and T loops).
Source: RNAcentral
GGAGCCGUGCCUGAACAAAGGGUCACUUUGAUAGAGUGAAUUACGAGGGUUAAAACCCCUCCGACUCCU